Molecule: long non-coding RNA, 380 nt
Organism: Harmonia axyridis
Lineage: Eukaryota; Metazoa; Arthropoda; Insecta; Coleoptera; Coccinellidae
Exons: 2
Source: RefSeq, a predicted model, not a curated record
GGCAAAAUGGUGGACAAGGCCAGGAAUCUCAUUCAUAAAAGUGGACUUAGUACUCGGAAAAGGAAGUUAGAGUCUAGAAGUUAUAUUCCAGCAAAAGUAACGACAUUCACCGAAGAAGAAAUUGAAUCACAUAAAUUCCUCAGAACAAGGACCGAACCGUGGGAGGAAAUAGUCUACCACUGGAAUAGAACGUUCAAUUCAAGAAGGACUGAAAGUGACCGUAGUUUAGGUCUGUUUUUGGCAAAGUGGCCAAUUUCUUGAGGAUCUCUGUAUGUUCAGAUAUAAUUUUUUCGAGCUAGGUAUUUAGAUAAGAUACUUUUUAGAAAGAACUUGAUAUAUUUCACUUUGUAUUUUCUUCAGAUAAUAAAUUAUUUACAAAU